CCUCACUGCUAUCGGGGUGAGAUUUAGCCAUGCAAGUCAUGCGCCUCCAAGCUAUGAUGGGGGUGCGGCAUACGGCUCCGUAACACGUGGCCAACCUACCCUUGGGACGAGGAUAACCCCGGGAAACUGGGGCUAAUAAUCGAUAGGUAGGAGUGCCUGGAAUGGUCUCCUACUGAAAAGACGUCGAGAUCAUGCUUCUCGACUUUGCCCAUGGAUGGGGCUGCGGCCGAUCAGGUUGUUGGUAGGGUAAUGGCCUACCAAGCCUAUAGCCGGUACGGGCCCUGAGAGGGGGUGCCCGGAGAUGGGAACUGAGACAAGGUCCCAAGCCCUAAGGGGCGCAGCAGGCGCGAAACCUCCACAAUACGCGAAAGCGUGAUGGGGUUACCCCGAGUGCCGUCCGAAGAGGAUGGCUUUUCCUCGGUGUAAAGAGCCGAGGGUAAUAAGAGGGGGGCAAGACUGGUGUCAGCCGCCGCGGUAAUACCAGCUCCUCGAGUGGUGAGGACGAUUACUGGGCCUAAAGCGUUCGUAGCCUGCUUGGUGAGUCCUUCGUGAAAUCCGUCGACUUAAUCGUCGGGAGUGCGAAGGAGACCGCCAAGCUAGGGGGCGGGAGAAGUCGACGGUAUUCCCGGGGUAGGGGUGAAAUCCUAUAAUCCCGGGAGGACCACCAGUGGCGAAGGCGGUCGACUAGAACGUGCCCGACGGUGAUGGGCGAAAGCUGGGGGAGCGAACCGGAUUAGAUACCCGGGUAGUCCCAGCCGUAAACGAUGCAGGCUAGGUGUUGGGGCAGCUACGUGCUGCCCCAGUGCCGCAGGGAAGCUCUUAAGCCUGCCGCCUGGGAAGUACGGCCGCAAGGCUGAAACUUAAAGGAAUUGGCGGGGGAGCACCACAAGGGGUGAAGGCUGCGGUUUAAUUGGAGUCAACGCCGGGAAACUUACCGGGACUGACAGCAGGAUGAAGGCCAGACUGAAGAUCUUGCCAGACAAGCUGAGAGGUGGCGCAUGGCCGUCGCCAGUUCGUGCCGUGAGGUGUCCUCUUAAGUGAGGCAACGAACGAGACCCCCACUGCUAGUUGCCAGCGAAUCCCAUUGGGAUGUCGGGUACACUAGCGGGACUGCCGCCGACAAGGCGGAGGAGGGAGGGGGCCACGGCAGGUCAGUAUGCCCCGAAUGCCCCGGGCCGCACGCGGCCUGCAAUGGUAGGGACAGAGGGUCGCAACCCCGAGAGGGGAAGCCAAUCCCUAAACCCUACCUCAGUUGGGAUUGAGGGCUGAAACUCGCCCUCAUGAACAUGGAAUCCCUAGUAACCGCACGUCAUCAUCGUGCGGUGAAUACGUCCCCGCUCCUUGCACACACCGCCCGUCGCUCCACCCAAGCUGGGUUUAGAUGAGGCGUAGUCAAGUUGGCUGUGUCGAAUCUGAGUUCGGUGAGGAGGGAG
RNAcentral lists this ribosomal RNA (1433 nucleotides) under uncultured archaeon. RNAcentral's name for it is "bacterial SSU rRNA". It matches the Rfam family "Archaeal small subunit ribosomal RNA". The record is from RNAcentral.